Molecule: RNA transcript, 2181 nt
Organism: Hibiscus syriacus
Lineage: Eukaryota; Viridiplantae; Streptophyta; Magnoliopsida; Malvales; Malvaceae
Gene name: RNA-binding KH domain-containing protein RCF3-like
Exons: 8
Source: RefSeq, a predicted model, not a curated record
GAAGAUAUUUCUCAAAGAACAAAAUCACCAGACUUCCUUCCUUAUUUCCCGAUAUAGAAAAUAAAGGCACUCCAACGUUUCUCCGUUUCUAUCUUCCGUUCCGUUCCUCUGUUUCUCCUUAAUUUAAGUUGUUAUAGAGAUCGAGAAUUUGAAACUUAAGGCGGUUGUUAUGGCUGGUCAAAGAAAUGAUUACGGUAAGAGGUCCCCUUUUCAGUCUGAUCACGCUGGAAAUGGAGCAGGAGGUAGUAAAAGAAGGAAUGGAGGUGAGGAAAAUGAACAGCAUGGGAUUGGGCCUGAAGACACUGUAUACCGUUAUUUAUGUCAUGUCAGAAGGGCUGGGAGUAUUAUAGGGAGAGGUGGUGAGAUUGUGAAACAGUUAAGGUCAGAUAGUAAGUCGAACAUUAGGAUUUGCGAAGCUAUGCCGGGUUGUGAGGAGAGGGUUGUUAUGAUUUAUAGCUCUAGUGAGGAAACAAAUCCCUUUGGUGACGGUGAUGAUGAACUUGUUUCGCCUGCUCAGGAUGCUUUGUUUAGGGUACAUGAUAGGGUUGUUGCGGAAGUGUUGCCUGCCGAUGAGGAUUUCGAAGAGCAAACACAUUUGGUUACUGUGAGAAUGCUUGUGGCAUCUGAUCAGAUUGGCUGUGUUAUUGGGAAAGGUGGACAAGUGAUUCAAACUAUAAGGAGCGAAACACAUGCUCAGGUUCGGGUUUUAAGUAAUGAGCAUUUGCCUUCGUGUGCUUUGGGUUCCGAUGAGCUUCUUCAGAUAGUUGGAGAGCCCUCAGUAGUUAGGAAGGCUCUGUAUCAUGUGGCAUCUCGCCUUCAUGAUAAUCCUUCAAGAUCCCAGCACUUGCUUCCCUCCUCUCUAUCAAAUAUGAAUCUACCCGAUGGGAUGUACAUGAAUGCUCCCCUUAUUGGUUCUUAUGGAAACUAUUCUUCCAGAAGAGAUGAUGGUUCUGCAAGGGAAUUUUCUCUUCGUUUGGUUUGCCCAGUUGGAAACAUUGGGGGUGUGAUUGGAAAAGGUGGUGGUAUUAUCAAACAGAUUAGACAGGAGUCUGGGGCAUCUAUAAAAGUUGAUAGCUCUUCGGCUGAAGGAGAUUAUUGCAUUAUAUUCAUAUCAGCGAAGGAGUUUAUUGAAGACCCAUCCCCAAUCAUCAAUGCUGCUUUGCGGUUGCAAUCACGAUGCAGUGAAAAAACAGAAAGAGAGUCGAGUGAUUCUGUAAUCACCACCCGUUUACUUGUCCCAAGCUCACAGGUUGGGUGCCUUAUUGGUAAAGGUGGGGCUAUAAUAUCUGGGAUGAGGAAUGCUACUAGGGCUAGUAUUCGCAUACUUUCCAAAGAAAACCUUCCCAAAGUUGCAUAUGAAGAUGAAGAGAUGGUGCAGAUUACUGGAAGUCUGGAUGUUGCUAGCAAUGCCUUUUCGCAAGUACUGAUGCAUCUGAGAGCCAAUAUAUUUGAAAGAGAAGCAUCAGCUCCCGCAUUUUUUCCCGUCCUUCCCUACAUUCCCAUGUCAUUAGACAUGUCAGAUGGUCCUAAGUAUGGUAACAAAGAUGGUCAACCACGUAAUCGUGGACACUCUUCUUAUUCAGGGGGAUACAGCCCCGAUUUGUCCACAAGUGACAAUAAAGGAACUUAUAGUGGUUCACUUAGUGGAAGUGACAUCUAUGGAAAUCAUGGUGGUCGGAAUUCCGGUUGUCCAAUGUAAACCAAGUUUCACAUAGGAAGCAUGGGUAUUAGUCCUGGGUUCUAGACCCCACAGAUAUGCAGAAUGAUAUCUUAAACCCUGCCAGCCAUCCCAUGCCAAGGAUUCCACUGCACCUUCCCCACUUGUUGCCCUUUCUCCCCUAUCUAAACAGUUGCCACAAAUUUUGAAGCCAGACCUUUCCCCUUUUCGAUGAAGCCAGCCUAUACCAGAAGACCAGACAAAUUGGGUUUGAGAAACUUAUGUUCUACUUUGGCCACCAUCGUGCUUGCUUGGGUGACCAAGAAUAAGAUCAUUUAAUGAUGCAAAUCACCAUUCGAUCAUUUUUGGCCUGGACUUCAUGAUUUUCAGGCUCUGUAACGAGUUUCUAAUAAUGGCUUUCCGUGUAAAAAUCCUUAGACUUGUAUCCUUGACAUUUGGCACUUUGGCUGAUGAAUUGAUUUUAAUGUUUUAUAACGUGGGAGUUAAUGUAGGACCUACUUGAU